GAUGAAGAACGUAGCGAAAUGCGAUAAGUAAUGUGAAUUGCAGAAUUCAGUGAAUCAUCGAAUCUUUGAACGCAUCUUGCGCUCCUUGGUAUUCUGAGGAGCAUGCCUGUUUGAGUGUCAUUAAAUUCUCAACCGCACUGACUUUGAAUUGGUGUGGCUUGGAUUUGGGGGGAAAAUUGUUGUGGGCUUUUUUGUAUAGUCUGCUCCCCUGAAAUUGAUUAGCGGUACCUUUGUGGAACUGUCUACAGGUGUGAUAAUUAUCUACAUCCUAGACAUCUGCUGGAAUGCUGCUUUCUAAACCUUACUUGUAUUGACAAUCUUGACCUCAAAUCAGGUAGGACUACCCGCUGAACUUAAGCAUAUCAAUAAGCGGAGGA
RNAcentral lists this unclassified non-coding RNA (377 nucleotides) under soil metagenome. Its description in RNAcentral is "partial contains 5.8S ribosomal RNA, internal transcribed spacer 2, and large subunit ribosomal RNA". The stretch from base 1 to 120 matches the Rfam family "5.8S ribosomal RNA", at positions 35 to 154 of the family's 154-position model. The record is from RNAcentral.